ACGUAGGGAGCAAGCGUUGUCCGGAUUUAUUGGGUGUAAAGGGUGCGUAGGCGGCUACAUAAGUCAGGCGUGUAAUUCAGAGGCUUAACCUCUGAACUGCGCUUGAAACUGUGUGGCUUGAGUGGAGUAGAGGCAGAUGGAAUUUCCAGUGUAGCGGUGAAAUGCGUAGAUAUUGGAAGGAACACCAGUGGCGAAGGCGAUCUGCUGGGCUCUAACUGACGCUGAGGCACGAAAGCAUGGGGAGCAAACAG
RNAcentral lists this ribosomal RNA (251 nucleotides) under uncultured prokaryote. RNAcentral's name for it is "partial 16S rRNA". It matches the Rfam family "Bacterial small subunit ribosomal RNA", at positions 525 to 775 of the family's 1533-position model. The record is from RNAcentral.